AACGAACGCUGGCGGCAGGCUUAACACAUGCAAGUCGAGCGGGCCCGCAAGGGUCAGCGGCGGACGGGUUAGUAACGCGUGGGAACGUGCCCUUUGCUCUGGAAUAGCCCUGGGAAACUGGGGGUAAUACCGGAUGUGCCCUGAGGGGGAAAGAGUUAUCGGCAAGGGAUCGGCCCGCGUCUGAUUAGGUAGUUGGUGGGGUAACGGCCCACCAAGCCGACGAUCGGUAGCUGGUUUGAGAGGAUGAUCAGCAACACUGGGACUGAGACACGGCCCAGACUCCUACGGGAGGCAGCAGUGGGGAAUCUUAGACAAUGGGCGCAAGCCUGAUCUAGCCAUGCCGCGUGGGUGAUGAA
This 356-nucleotide ribosomal RNA is filed under the name uncultured Rubellimicrobium sp. Its description in RNAcentral is "bacterial SSU rRNA". It matches the Rfam family "Bacterial small subunit ribosomal RNA", at positions 29 to 412 of the family's 1533-position model. The record is from RNAcentral. Lineage: Bacteria; Pseudomonadati; Pseudomonadota; Alphaproteobacteria; Rhodobacterales; Roseobacteraceae.